GAUGAACGCUAGCGGGAGGCCUAACACAUGCAAGCCGAGCGGUAGAUUACUUUCGGGUGAUUGAGAGCGGCGUACGGGUGCGGAACACGUGUGCAACCUGCCUUUAUCAGGGGGAUAGCCUUUCGAAAGGAAGAUUAAUACCCCAUAAUAUAUUAUUCGGCAUCGGGUGAUAUUGAAAACUACGGUGGAUAGAGAUGGGCACGCGCAAGAUUAGCUAGUUGGUGAGGUAACGGCUCACCAAGGCGACGAUCUUUAGGGGGCCUGAGAGGGUGAUCCCCCAAACUGGUACUGAGACACGGACCAGACUCCUACGGGAGGCAGCAGUGAGGAAUAUUGGACAAUGGGUGGAAGCCUGAUCCAGCCAUCCCGCGUGCAGGAAGACGGCCCUAUGGGUUGUAAACUGCUUUUAUCUGGGGAUAAACCUACUUACGUGUAAGUAGCUGAAGGUACCAGAAGAAUAAGCACCGGCUAACUCCGUG
RNAcentral lists this ribosomal RNA (479 nucleotides) under uncultured bacterium. Its description in RNAcentral is "partial 16S ribosomal RNA". It matches the Rfam family "Bacterial small subunit ribosomal RNA", at positions 28 to 507 of the family's 1533-position model. The record is from RNAcentral.